Non-coding RNA from Dipodomys ordii (Ord's kangaroo rat), 101 nucleotides. Lineage: Eukaryota; Metazoa; Chordata; Mammalia; Rodentia; Heteromyidae. The record is from Rfam.
GCUCACUUGGGCAGCAUAUACUAAAAAUAGAACAAUACAGAGAAGAUUAGCAUGACUUCUACACAAGGAUGACUUAAAAUCAUCAAGCCCAACCUCUCCCA